GGUCCCGUAGCUCAGUUGGUUAGAGCGUGGUGCUAAUAUGUGACGCCAAGGCCGCGAGUUCGACCCUCGUCGGGACCA
Non-coding RNA from Lepidopterella palustris CBS 459.81, 78 nucleotides. NCBI's taxonomy places the organism in Eukaryota, Fungi, Ascomycota, Dothideomycetes, Mytilinidiales, Argynnaceae. The record is from the annotation of a GenBank genome assembly.